GAUUUUCAAUUGCAUAUUAUUAUUUCAGAUAUUGAUCAAAAAGAUGUAGAGUUACUUGACGAAAUGUGUUCCGACAUUUAUGGACCAUUAGUAAGAUUAAGUCCACCUCCAAAUGAGAAAGAUUAUCACUUUAAUCUUAGCGAAAAUGAAGGUGUUUGCGACUUGUUCGAUAUUACAGCAAAGUGAAUAGGACAUUGUAUAGUUCAAAUUUUAAGUGGUUCAUGAUUCAGAUUGUGCCAAUAAUAUUUAAGAUUCCAGGAGUUUGUUGACAAUUUCUGAAGGCUGUUCUGUGUAUAUAAUUUUAAAGAAUGGAUAUGGAUAAUGGUCACUGAA
Ceratina calcarata is the source of this 333-nucleotide long non-coding RNA. RefSeq lists it as uncharacterized. The transcript has 2 exons. NCBI's taxonomy places the organism in Eukaryota, Metazoa, Arthropoda, Insecta, Hymenoptera, Apidae. The record is from RefSeq and is a predicted model, not a curated record.